UACGUAGGUGGCAAGCGUUGUCCGGAUUUACUGGGCGUAAAGGAUGCGUAGGCGGACAUUUAAGUCAGAUGUGAAAUACCCGAGCUUAACUUGGGUGCUGCAUUUGAAACUGGGUGUCUAGAGUGCAGGAGAGGUAAGUGGAAUUCCUAGUGUAGCGGUGAAAUGCGUAGAGAUUAGGAAGAACACCAGUGGCGAAGGCGACUUACUGGACUGUAACUGACACUGAGGCAUGAAAGCGUGGGGAGCAAACAGG
RNAcentral lists this ribosomal RNA (253 nucleotides) under uncultured bacterium. Its description in RNAcentral is "partial 16S ribosomal RNA". It matches the Rfam family "Bacterial small subunit ribosomal RNA", at positions 524 to 776 of the family's 1533-position model. The record is from RNAcentral.